This 571-nucleotide ribosomal RNA is filed under the name uncultured bacterium. Its description in RNAcentral is "partial 16S ribosomal RNA". It matches the Rfam family "Bacterial small subunit ribosomal RNA", at positions 354 to 918 of the family's 1533-position model. The record is from RNAcentral.
UGGGGGAAUUUUGGACAAUGGGCGAAAGCCUGAUCCAGCAAUGCCGCGUGUGUGAAGAAGGCCUUCGGGUUGUAAAGCACUUUUGUCCGGAAAGAAAUCCUUGGCUCUAAUACAGUCGGGGGAUGACGGUACCGGAAGAAUAAGCACCGGCUAACUACGUGCCAGCAGCCGCGGUAAUACGUAGGGUGCAAGCGUUAAUCGGAAUUACUGGGCGUAAAGCGUGCGCAGGCGGUUUGCUAAGACCGAUGUGAAAUCCCCGGGCUCAACCUGGGAACUGCAUUGGUGACUGGCAGGCUAGAGUAUGGCAGAGGGGGGUAGAAUUCCACGUGUAGCAGUGAAAUGCGUAGAGAUGUGGAGGAAUACCGAUAGCGAAGGCAGCCCCCUGGGCCAAUACUGACGCUCAUGCACGAAAGCGUGGGGAGCAAACAGGAUUAGAUACCCUGAUAGUCCACGCCCUAAACGAUGUCAACUAGUUGUUGGGGAUUCAUUUCCUUAGUAACGUAGCUAACGCGUGAAGUUGACCGCCUGGGGAGUACGGUCGCAAGGUUAAAACUCAAAGGAAUUGACGGGG